Molecule: ribosomal RNA, 253 nt
Filed under: uncultured bacterium
Lineage: Bacteria
Description: partial 16S ribosomal RNA
Rfam family: Bacterial small subunit ribosomal RNA
Source: RNAcentral
UACGGAGGGUGCAAGCGUUAUCCGGAUUCACUGGGUUUAAAGGGUGCGUAGGUGGGUUGGUAAGUCAGUGGUGAAAUCUCCGUGCUUAACAUGGAAACUGCCAUUGAUACUACUGAUCUUGAAUUUUCUGGAGGUAAGCGGAAUAUGUCAUGUAGCGGUGAAAUGCUUAGAUAUGACAUAGAACACCAAUUGCGUAGGCAGCUUACUACACGAUCAUUGACGCUGAGGCACGAAAGCGUGGGGAGCAAACAGG